UCUGGAACCGUUGGCAAUUCGGGCUUUGGAACCUCUGGCACCUUCGGCAACUCAGGCUUCUGAAUCUCCGGCAUCUUGGGCAACUCGGGUUUCUGAAUCUCCGGCAUCUUAGGUAACUCCGGCAUUUUGGGCAACUCCGGCUUCUGGAUCUCCGGUACCUUAGGAGCCUCAAGCUUGGGAACUUCUGGCAACUUUGGCAACUCAGGUUUCUGAAUCUCCGGCAUCUUAGGUAACUCCGGCAUUUUGGGCAACUCCGGCUUCUGGAUCUCUGGUACCUUAGGAGCCUCAAGCUUGGGAACUUCUGGCAACUUUGGCAACUCAGGCUUUGGAAUCUCUGGCACCUUAGGAGCCUCAGGCUUUUCAGUCUCCAUUAGCUUAGGCACCUCAGGCUUUGAAUUCUCUGGAAACUUUGGCAAAUCAGGCUUUGGAAUCUCUGGAAACUUUGGUAAUUCAGGCUUUGGAAUCUCCGGCAUUUUUGGUAACUCGGGCUUCUGAAUCUCCGGUACCUUUGGUAACUCAGGUUUUGGAAUCUCUGGCAUCUUUGGGAGCUCAGGUUUUGGAAUUUCCGGAAACUUGGGCAAUUCAAGCUUGGGAAUAUCUGGCAGUUUAGUUUCCUCAG
Molecule: long non-coding RNA, 619 nt
Filed under: Arabidopsis thaliana (thale cress)
Lineage: Eukaryota; Viridiplantae; Streptophyta; Magnoliopsida; Brassicales; Brassicaceae
Description: long non-coding RNA (ATHA_LNC000357)
Source: RNAcentral